UAAAGCUAACAUUCACGAUAACCCGCAA
Molecule: small RNA, 28 nt
Filed under: Bombyx mori (domestic silkworm)
Lineage: Eukaryota; Metazoa; Arthropoda; Insecta; Lepidoptera; Bombycidae
Description: ovarian small RNA-18334
Source: RNAcentral